Molecule: ribosomal RNA, 252 nt
Filed under: uncultured bacterium
Lineage: Bacteria
Description: partial 16S ribosomal RNA
Rfam family: Bacterial small subunit ribosomal RNA
Source: RNAcentral
UACGUAGGUCCCGAGCGUUGUCCGGAUUUAUUGGGCGUAAAGCGAGCGCAGGUGGUUUAUUAAGUCUGGUGUAAAAGGCAGUGGCUCAACCAUUGUAUGCAUUGGAAACUGGUAGACUUGAGUGCAGGAGAGGAGAGUGGAAUUCCAUGUGUAGCGGUGAAAUGCGUAGAUAUAUGGAGGAACACUGGUGGCAAAAGCGGCUCUCUGGCCUGUAACUGACACUGAGGCUCGAAAGCGUGGGGAGCAAACAGG